UGAGGAAUAUUGGUCAAUGGACGCAAGUCUGAACCAGCCAAGUAGCGUGCAGGAUGACGGCCCUAUGGGUUGUAAACUGCUUUUAUAUGGGGAUAAAGUGGGGAACGUGUUCCCUUUUGCAGGUACCAUAUGAAUAAGGACCGGCUAAUUCCGUGCCAGCAGCCGCGGUAAUACGUAUGUUGCGAGCGUUAUCCGGAAUUAUUGGGCUUAAAGGGCAUCUAGGCGGUAAGACAAGUUGAAGGUGAAAACCUGUGGCUCAACCAUAGGCUUGCCUACAAAACUGUUGAACUAGAGUACUGGAAAGGUGGGUGGAACUACACGAGUAGAGGUGAAAUUCGUAGAUAUGUGUAGGAAUGCCGAUGAUGAAGAUAACUCACUGGACAGAAACUGACGCUGAAGUGCGAAAGCUAGGGGAGCAAACAGG
Molecule: ribosomal RNA, 424 nt
Filed under: Verrucomicrobiota bacterium
Lineage: Bacteria; Pseudomonadati; Verrucomicrobiota
Description: Verrucomicrobia bacterium partial 16S ribosomal RNA
Rfam family: Bacterial small subunit ribosomal RNA
Source: RNAcentral